This 253-nucleotide ribosomal RNA is filed under the name uncultured bacterium. RNAcentral describes it as "partial 16S ribosomal RNA". It matches the Rfam family "Bacterial small subunit ribosomal RNA", at positions 524 to 776 of the family's 1533-position model. RNAcentral also lists the same sequence under 1 other name. The record is from RNAcentral.
GACGAACCGUGCGAACGUUGUUCGGAAUCACUGGGCUUAAAGGGCGCGUAGGCGGGCUUGCAAGUCUGUGGUGAAAUCCUCCAGCCCAACUGGAGAACUGCCGUGGAUACUGCGAGUCUCGAGGGAGGUAGGGGCGUGCGGAACAGAUGGUGGAGCGGUGAAAUGCGUUGAUAUCAUCUGGAACUCCGGUGGCGAAGGCGGCACGCUGGACCUCAUCUGACGCUGAGGCGCGAAAGCUAGGGGAGCAAACGGG